CCUGAAUCAUUAAGGACAAACAUGUUGGGACCUCAUUUCUGCUGUUCCUCCACCUUGACUGAAAUUGGUCAUUCUGUAAACAGUAUUCAUUUCAUUGAACAUCUGUUUUUGCUGAACAUUCAAAAGUAGGGUUAUACAUUAUCUUGAGUGCGCAGUGUGCCAAUACUAAAACAAAAAUAUGGUUGUUCUGCCCCUGGCAUUGAAAGUGUAUAUUGUUCUUAAUGUGUGUAGCAUAGGUGCCUGUACCUUUAAUUGAGGGAAUGCUCUAGGGGAGAGGCUGCUAGUUAGGUGACAGGAAGUCAAAAGCACAUGUUCACGUAGGAAGCAUGCAAGAUUAGCAGUUUGAUCAGCUCUUCAAAAACGAUGCAGUUCAACGAUGCCAUGCCGUAAUUCCGACGCCUCAUUGUUCCGACGUCUCAAUGGUCCGAAAUAUUUCCCAUUAGAUCGACAUGCCACUAUGCCGACGGUUCCCAUUGGUCCGAAAACGGAACCCAUUGGUCCGAAGGUCAGUUUGUCUGACUUUUCAAAAAGGAGGCGCUUUAGGCCGACGCUUCAAUAUGCCGAAUAGGCCAAGGCGCAAUUCCACAUGUGUGAUGAUGAAACCAAAAAUAAAAAGACGAUAGGCUAAGUUCCAGCAGUGCACUUCACCAAGCCAGACUGUUGCUGUGGGCUUGAACGGUCACAAGAGGUGAAUUUAUGAAGCGCACGUUAUACUUUAUCUGUAAAGAAGUCAAACGGAUACUGACAUCGCAACAAAGAGGGAGAUUGCACUCAAAUGUCUCAUUAACAUGGGAGCAGCAGUGGAGGACCUCAAAGAUUUCCUGGUGUCGGAGAAGGAAGAAGCUGAAAUGGUUCUUCAGCAGGAAACCAUGGCAGUCUUUGUCAUCAGAGAUGCACAAGCCUUACCUCAAGACAUUGGCAUCAUACUUGAGGGACAACAGGUUCA
Long non-coding RNA from Gadus macrocephalus (Pacific cod), 946 nucleotides. RefSeq lists it as uncharacterized. Lineage: Eukaryota; Metazoa; Chordata; Actinopteri; Gadiformes; Gadidae. The record is from RefSeq and is a predicted model, not a curated record. The transcript is spliced from 3 exons.